AGUGAACGCUGGCGGUAGGCCUAACACAUGCAAGUCGAACGGCAGCACAGUAAGAGCUUGCUCUUACGGGUGGCGAGUGGCGGACGGGUGAGGAAUACAUCGGAAUCUACUUUUUCGUGGGGGAUAACGUAGGGAAACUUACGCUAAUACCGCAUACGACCUACGGGUGAAAGCAUGGGAUCUUCGGACCUUGCGCGAUUGAAUGAGCCGAUGUCGGAUUAGCUAGUUGGCGGGGUAACGGCCCACCAAGGCGACGAUCCGUAGCUGGUCUGAGAGGAUGAUCAGCCACACUGGAACUGAGACACGGUCCAGACUCCUACGGGAGGCAGCAGUGGGGAAUAUUGGACAAUGGGCGCAAGCCUGAUCCAGCCAUACCGCGUGGGUGAAGAAGGCCUUCGGGUUGUAAAGCCCUUUUGUUGGGAAAGAAAAGCAGCAGGUUAAUACCCCGCUGUUCUGACGGUACCCAAAGAAUAAGCACCGGCUAACUUCGUG
RNAcentral lists this ribosomal RNA (492 nucleotides) under uncultured bacterium. Its description in RNAcentral is "partial 16S ribosomal RNA". It matches the Rfam family "Bacterial small subunit ribosomal RNA", at positions 29 to 507 of the family's 1533-position model. The record is from RNAcentral.